CCUACGGGUGGCAGCAGUGAGGAAUAUUGGUCAAUGGACGAGAGUCUGAACCAGCCAAGUAGCGUGAAGGAUGACUGCCCUAUGGGUUGUAAACUUCUUUUAUAUGGGAAUAAAAUGUUCCACGUGUGGGAUUUUGUAUGUACCCUAUGAAUAAGGAUCGGCUAACUCCGUGCCAGCAGCCGCGGUAAUACGGAGGAUCCGAGCGUUAUCCGGAUUUAUUGGGUUUAAAGGGAGCGUAGGUGGAUUGUUAAGUCAGUUGUGAAAGUUUGCGGCUCAACCGUAAAAUUGCAGUUGAAACUGGCAGUCUUGAGUACAGUAGAGGUGGGCGGAAUUCGUGGUGUAGCGGUGAAAUGCUUAGAUAUCACGAAGAACUCCGAUUGCGAAGGCAGUUCACUGGACUGCAACUGACACUGAGGCUCGAAAGUGUGGAUAUCAAACAGGAUUAGAUACCCUUGUAGUC
RNAcentral lists this ribosomal RNA (460 nucleotides) under uncultured bacterium. RNAcentral's name for it is "partial 16S ribosomal RNA". It matches the Rfam family "Bacterial small subunit ribosomal RNA", at positions 338 to 795 of the family's 1533-position model. The record is from RNAcentral.